Molecule: long non-coding RNA, 676 nt
Organism: Coffea arabica (coffee)
Lineage: Eukaryota; Viridiplantae; Streptophyta; Magnoliopsida; Gentianales; Rubiaceae
Source: RefSeq, a predicted model, not a curated record
GAGCAAAAAAUAUUUUUACAAUUCUGAAUUGGAUAAUACGGACAGUGGCGCGUUAUCCCCUCGAAAAGCACGUGCACCUCACGUGACAACCGCCAUUCAUACAUCCUAUUUAAAUAUGAUUUUCUAACGUAACGGAACACACCGACCGUAAUCCGCUGCGCUGACAAUUCCAAGCUUUCCCCUUUUAGGAGACAAUUCUAAUUUAUGGAUAAAAUUGAAUCUGGAAAGGAGGUUUCUGAAGAGUUGACUCGGGAAUCACUUAUUGCCAUCUCUUACACAGCACCAGAGAAGGAAGCUGCUGCUAGAAACUCAAAUGAAAACCUAACAGGAGAGAAUGUGGUUGCUGCUACAAAAGUUGAUGGAAAUGAUACAUAUAGGUCUAAACUGAUCUCAAUAUCUUAUACAGAGUCACCAGACGCUAAAACACUACCAGUUCUUCCUGGUAAAAAUUGAGGUUCGGUUGGACUACAGGUUUCAUAAGACAGCUACUUUGCAACACUUUUAAUGUGGUGUUACAGUUAAGAUACAAUACUGGACUGUGGAUGCAAGUUCUGUGUACUUGUAAGCUAAAUGUUUAUCACUUUUCGUUAACCAGCAUUCCGAUAAUUGCGAUCCUGUGUAUAGACAUUUCAAUGAUAUGCAUGACGACUUUGUCCUUGAUUUGUGGAAUGUUUUA